Molecule: long non-coding RNA, 2811 nt
Filed under: Equus caballus (horse)
Lineage: Eukaryota; Metazoa; Chordata; Mammalia; Perissodactyla; Equidae
Description: lncRNA (ENSECAG00000059373.1)
Rfam family: SOX2 overlapping transcript exon 1 (bases 571-800)
Source: RNAcentral
CUUAGUCUCAAUAUUGAGUGCUUUGAAAUGAAUAACUUUCCAAGUAUUUAUUAUAAGAAAUUGAAAGUCCAAGUUAAUUUUGAGUACUGUUAUUAAGCAAACAUGUGCAAAUAAUUUAAUUUUUAAAACCUAUGGAAGCUCACAUAAAGGUUAAGAUAAGUUUGAAAAUCAUUAACUUGCAUAAAAGGCAAAUGGCACUUUGGGAUUUAGUAUUAUAAGCAAGAUUUCAUUUUAAUUUAUCCUAUUUUCCUAAGAAUAGCAAUGUUAUUGAUUUAUUCUGAGAGAGUUCCCCCCACACACAGUGAUUUUUUUUUUUUACUGUGGUAGGUAAUAAAAAGGAUUACAGGCCCCCAGAAGGAUGAGAUAUCAUCAGUUUGUAAUCCAGCCCAUGGUUUCCUAGAUACCGUAUUGUCUAUUCUGUUCCGCUAUGUGAAAAAUGUUGAAUAUCAACAAUGGGUUUCAGUGCUGUAUUGUUGAGUUUUGUAUGAACUAAUCUAGCUUCACUAAGAAAAAAAAAGAAAGAAAAGAAAAGAAAGAGAGAAGAAAAAAAGGAAAAAAAAAAAAAGAACCACAGCUUUGCACAAAAGUCUAUAGCCAGUGCAUUUGAAACUCCCCUUGCACAAGGGCUGACUGUGGCCGGGGGAAGACAGUUUACUCAGUUGCUCUCUCCUUUCAUACAGUCAGCUGGUCCCUCUUCUCAGGUGUAGAUCACCUAUUACCACUUCACCUGUUUUGAUUCUCUGAUGAGGAAAGUCCCAGGACUUAUCAGCUGGGAUAGGCCUCAUUCACAAGACACCUCUGUAUUUGGAAGAAAGCCUGACAGGUUUCUCCGGAAAAGUGGCCAUCCAUGGAAUGAAUGAAAUGUUCCCUUUCUAUUCCACUAGCAAAAAGACCUCAGGAAGAGUGAUCCUUACCCCACCAUCAAGUCACUUAUGACUGAUUCUUACUUCUGAUUCCACCAAGAUUAAACCAGAGACUUACAGAGGAGCUGGCAAACCUUUUCUAUUCACCCCGAGCUAACAUCUGCACCAGUUCUUCCUCUACUUUGUCUGUGGGAUGCCUCCACAGCAUGGCUGAUGAGUGGAGAAGGUCUGCACCGAGGAUCUGAACCAGAAAAUCCCUGCUGCCAAAGUGGAGCGUGGGGACAUUUAACUAUUCGGCCGUGCAAUAAUAAUUUUUGAUCAGGCUAACAUGAAUUGUGUGUUUAUUGGUGGAAAGGAUGAAGAAAGCAAGUUACUUUAAACCUGUUGUCUCCAAUUUUCAAAAACUAUCCUCUGGGAUCAGACAUACUUUUCUCCAGGCAAUGUGCUGCCCUGGGGGUUCUCUAGUCGAGUGGGCUGAGCCUUCCAGGUCAAUACAAUGGAAUCUGCACUUGUCACUUCCAGGGGUGUCACUUCUUAGUUCCUGAGACAAAAUCACCAUCAAACAUGAACCCACAACCAAACCAUGAUCCUAUCAAAUACCCUGUCACUAUUUCUUUUCUCUCUCGUAUUCUUUUUUGUCUUUCCUUAUUUUUGUAGAUGAAAUCGGGUUAAAAUGGGCAUCAGGAGGAAAACAAAGGCACUAUAGCAAGAUAACGCUACCCUCUCGACUGGUGGGGGUGUUAAAUGGGACCCCAAGUAUCGAAUGACCCCCUUAAUCCUAUAGCUACAAUCAAAACUAGAACUGCAAUGUGGGUCUCCUGAUUCCUUCUGGUGCAGAGUCUCUUACUGGACGACACUAAGUAACACUCAAGCUGAGGGGCCUGGUGUCUAACGACACAGAGGUUUUGCCUUAGGGAUAGUGCUGGGUAGAGGUGAAGGUAGGGUGAAGAGAUAGGGGUGUGGGCUGAUUGUGGACAUGUAAGCUUAACACCAGCAGUCAGAGACACUUUCUUUUCCCUUCACCGUGUUUUCCUGAGAAUGAUGAGUCAACAGUUCCAGUGUGGUAGACUCCAAAAUACCAUACCCUGAGGAAGGUUCAUAUCUAUGAGUGAAAAGACAAGUACAGGGAGAGAAAGGGCGAUAGAUGUUUUCUCUCUUCCUCUUAACUGCAAUUUUUUGAAAGACAUCUAAGAUUGGAUCAAGGCAUAGACAACCACCUCCCAGUAUGAUUUGAGGAAAACAGUCUUCCUGCCUCUAAAAUGUGUCCUCUAGUGACUUGCUGAAGUGCUUGAUAUACCCACAUUAAAGAGUCUUUACUUUGGGACAAAGAAUUAUUUACAUAUUCAAUAUUGAAGAAAUAUUUAUUAAGAACUUAAUAAAAAAUAAAUAAAGGGUCUGGCCUGGUGGCAUAGUGGUUAAGUUCACACACUCUGCUUUAGCAUCCCAGCAUUCACAAGUUUAGAUCCCAGGGGUGGAUCUACACAGCACUCAUCAAGCCAUGCUGUGGUGGUAUCCCACAUACAAAAUAGAGGAAGAUUGACACAGAUGUUGGCUCAAGGCUAAUCUUCCUCACAAAGGAAAAGAAAGAACUUAAGUGCCAAACACUGUUCAUGGUGCUCUCCCCCCUGAAAAAAGUGAAGAAUGAAUAAUAAACAGUCUCCAUCCUAAAGGCACUUAAAAUCCACAUGGGAAACAAGAUAAUUUAAAGAAAAAUUGAUGUGUUAGCACAGGGUUAGGAUGUUUUUGUCAAGCACUCAGGAGACCUGAAGGGCAAGUGGCAGGCAAAACAGGAAAGGAGAAGAGAAAGGUGAGACAUACGAAACAGUGGGCAUAGGAAUGGUGGGCCCCAAAGCUGGAAAGAAGUGGUAAGAGGUGGAGAGAAAGAGAGUUACAAGGUGGGCAUGAAGGACCCUUUUUAUCCUGAGGAAGAGGAGAGCCCUUGAAGGGG